RNAcentral lists this microRNA precursor (95 nucleotides) under Canis lupus familiaris (dog). RNAcentral describes it as "mir-8799 microRNA precursor family". It matches the Rfam family "mir-8799 microRNA precursor family". RNAcentral also lists the same sequence under 1 other name. The record is from Rfam by way of RNAcentral. Lineage: Eukaryota; Metazoa; Chordata; Mammalia; Carnivora; Canidae.
GGGGGGAACGCCAGAUCUUGGGCUGUGUCCCCCAGCGCCCUGGGCUCCGGGGCUUGCACCGCUGAAAUCGCGCUCCCGGGGCCGCGCAGCCCUCU